UCCUUGGUGGCUCAGCUGGUAAAGAAUCUGCCUGCAACGCAGGAGACCCAGGUUCAAUCCCUGGGUCAGGAA
This 72-nucleotide transfer RNA is filed under the name Capra hircus (goat). It matches the Rfam family "tRNA". Rfam says of the family: Transfer RNA (tRNA) molecules are approximately 80 nucleotides in length. Their secondary structure includes four short double-helical elements and three loops (D, anti-codon, and T loops). The record is from Rfam by way of RNAcentral. RNAcentral also lists the same sequence under 1 other name. Lineage: Eukaryota; Metazoa; Chordata; Mammalia; Artiodactyla; Bovidae.